Long non-coding RNA from Herpailurus yagouaroundi (jaguarundi), 1193 nucleotides. RefSeq lists it as uncharacterized. The transcript is spliced from 3 exons. The record is from RefSeq and is a predicted model, not a curated record. NCBI's taxonomy places the organism in Eukaryota, Metazoa, Chordata, Mammalia, Carnivora, Felidae.
CUCAUCUCCUCCACAGACACACCAAAUCUACACCUAUUUAUAGAGCAAUUCCUCUUGAAGAAGAACUGAGGGCUGACUGAAAGCUUCUGCACAACAAAAAAUAGACCACACAGAGAGUGGCAAGAGAGAGGGGGACUUGGUGACCAAGGGAAUCCCCACUCUGACUCUGUACACUGCAGUGGGAAGGGAUAGUACUGAGGGACUGUGAAAAGAUUAGUCUGCCCUGGAGCACAGAAAAAAAGCCACAGUAUAAAAGAGCAACUGGAAUAUAAAAGAACCAGCCCUAGAACCUUGACAAAUGGCAGGGGAGCUGCUGGAACUCUCUCCAGGUCCCUUGUAGCAGAGAGUGGAUGGCCAGAACAGGAAAAGCCUGAUGACUGAGAGCUGUGGGUGGCCAGCCCUAAGUACAGAAAAGGUAGACCAGAGAUUUGUCUGAAAUUCCCCAAAUAACAGCCAACUAAUUGAAUGUCAAAGAAAAAUCCUGUUCAAAAUUUGAUGCAUGCACGUUUUCCUUUUGGUGAUUUUUCAUUAGGAACUUGACGUCAAUAUGUUGACAUUUAAAAAGGCAAUUCUGCGAGGCAGAGCUGCAGGGGGGGAAUGCAUUUCUGAGUCAGACAAGAGUCACUUGUUCACUGUAAGCCUCAGUUUUCUCAUCUGUAAAAUAAUGGUAAUGAUAUCUACUUUGCAGGCGGUUGUGAGGAUAGAAAGAGUAAAAGUGCCUGGCAUAUGCCUGAAGUGCAGAGGAUGCUGGGAAGCUUCCCCGAUGACUCCAUUCCCAACCAAGUGCUCCUCCUCCGGGCUCUCAGAACAUCCUGUGCCCAUCUCAGUCUUUGCAUAUCCCACUGCAUGUGAGAACAUUUAAGACCUGGUCUCUUGGUAAGUUUGAAGUAUAAAAUACACUAUUAUUAACUAUAAUCAUGAUGCUGUGCAUUAGAUCUCCAGAAUUUAUUUAUCUACCAAGUGGAAGUUUCUUCUCUUUGACUAACAUCUCCCCAAUUCCCUCACCCCCAGGCCCCACUUACCACCAAUCUACUCUCUGUUUCUAGGAGUUCAGCUUUUUUAGACUCCACAGAUAAGUGAUAUCAUAAAGUACUGUUGUCCCCUGACUUAUCUCUCACUUAGCAUAAUGCCCUCAAAGUCCAUCCAUGGUAUAGCAAAGGGCAGGAUUUCCUUUCUUUUUCAUGGAUGAAUAA